AUACUUACCUGGCAGGGGAGACACCAUGAUCAAGAAGGCGGUUCACCCAGGGCGAGGCUUGUCCAUUGCACUCCGGCCAUGCUGACCCUGCGAAUUCCCCAAAUGCGGGAAUCUCGACUGCAUAAUUUAUGGUAGUGGGGGACUGCGUUCGCGCUCUCCCCUG
Molecule: small nuclear RNA, 163 nt
Filed under: Carassius auratus (goldfish)
Lineage: Eukaryota; Metazoa; Chordata; Actinopteri; Cypriniformes; Cyprinidae
Description: U1 spliceosomal RNA (ENSCARG00000026772.1)
Rfam family: U1 spliceosomal RNA
About the family: U1 is a small nuclear RNA (snRNA) component of the spliceosome (involved in pre-mRNA splicing). Its 5' end forms complementary base pairs with the 5' splice junction, thus defining the 5' donor site of an intron.
Source: Rfam by way of RNAcentral